This 427-nucleotide ribosomal RNA is filed under the name uncultured bacterium. RNAcentral's name for it is "partial 16S ribosomal RNA". It matches the Rfam family "Bacterial small subunit ribosomal RNA", at positions 355 to 774 of the family's 1533-position model. The record is from RNAcentral.
UGGGGAAUAUUGCACAAUGGGCGCAAGCCUGAUGCAGCCAUGCCGCGUUUAUGAAGAAGGCCUUCGGGUUGUAAAGUACUUUCAGCGGGGAGGAAGGGAGUAAAGUUAAUACCUUUGCUCAUUGACGUUACCCGCAGAAGAAGCACCGGCUAACUCCGUGCCAGCAGCCGCGGUAAUACGGAGGGUGCAAGCGUUAAUCGGAAUUACUGGGCGUAAAGCGCACGCAGGCGGUUUGUUAAGUCAGAUGUGAAAUCCCCGGGCUCAACCUGGGAACUGCAUCUGAUACUGGCAAGCUUGAGUCUCGUAGAGGGGGGUAGAAUUCCAGGUGUAGCGGUGAAAUGCGUAGAGAUCUGGAGGAAUACCGGUGGCGAAGGCGGCCCCCUGGACGAAGACUGACGCUCAGGUGCGAAAGCGUGGGGAGCAAACA